RNAcentral lists this unclassified non-coding RNA (393 nucleotides) under Hevea brasiliensis (rubber tree). The record is from RNAcentral. Lineage: Eukaryota; Viridiplantae; Streptophyta; Magnoliopsida; Malpighiales; Euphorbiaceae.
CCCUCGGUUCUUAUACAAAUAAAUCAAAUAUAUCCGGUCGUCUCACGAGGCCCACCCUAUCUGUUAGUGAACUGGAGUUUCAUCUGGAGCUACUCAACAAUAACACAAACAAAAUCCAGCCUUCGUGCUCUCUACAAAAACGNNNNNGCUCGCACACCACAAGCAAUAGAGGCUUGCUAUGAUCAUAAUAAGUUUCAAUGAUUGGUGCGAUUCCUUUCUAGUGAACUUUAAGGAUUUUACCCUGUUGAUGUAAAUAAAGCCUCCAAUUAAGCAAGUGCAUAGGAAGCCAACCACAACGACAGCAUCUGGAUUGAUGGGUGCUUGAUUCUUCCACCAACCAGUGCUCAAUAUCCAGGUAUACACUGAUGAAUGUCCAUUUUCCUCAAACAAGUG